Molecule: ribosomal RNA, 253 nt
Filed under: uncultured bacterium
Lineage: Bacteria
Description: partial 16S ribosomal RNA
Rfam family: Bacterial small subunit ribosomal RNA
Source: RNAcentral
UACGGAGGGGGCUGGCGUUGUUCGGAAUUACUGGGCGUAAAGCGCACGUAGGCGGCUUUGUAAGUUAGAGGUGAAAGCCCGGAGCUCAACUCCGGAAUUGCCUUUAAGACUGCAUCGCUUGAAUCAUGGAGAGGUGAGUGGAAUUUACGGUGUAGCGGUGAAAUGCGUAGAUAUCGUAAGGAAGACCAGUGGCGAAGGCGGGUCUCUGGACAGUUCCUGACGCUGAGGCACGAAGGUCAGGGGAGCAAACGGG